GUGCCAGCCGCCGCGGUAACACCGGCAGCCCAAGUGAUGGCCGAUAUUAUUGGGCCUAAAGCGUCCGUAGCUGGCCGAGCAAGUUCGUCGGGAAAUCCACUCGCCUAACGAGUGGGCGUCCGGCGAAAACUGUUCGGCUUGGGACCGGAAGACCUGAAGGGUACGUCUGGGGUAGGAGUGAAAUCCCGUAAUCUUGGACGGACCACCGAUGGCGAAAGCACUUCAGGAGGACGGAUCCGACAGUGAGGGACGAAAGCUAGGGUCUCGAACCGGAUUAGAAACCCCGGUAGUCC
RNAcentral lists this ribosomal RNA (293 nucleotides) under uncultured bacterium. RNAcentral describes it as "partial 16S ribosomal RNA". It matches the Rfam family "Archaeal small subunit ribosomal RNA", at positions 455 to 747 of the family's 1478-position model. The record is from RNAcentral.